RNAcentral lists this ribosomal RNA (301 nucleotides) under uncultured bacterium. RNAcentral's name for it is "partial 16S ribosomal RNA". It matches the Rfam family "Bacterial small subunit ribosomal RNA", at positions 509 to 807 of the family's 1533-position model. The record is from RNAcentral.
CAGUAGCCACGGUAAUACAGAGGGUGCAAGCGUUAAUCGGAAUUACUGGGCGUAAAGCGCGUGUAGGUGGUUUGUUAAGUUGGAUGUGAAAUCCCCGGGCUCAACCUGGGAACUGCAUCCAAAACUGGCAGGCUAGAGUAGGGCAGAGGGUGGUGGAAUUUCCUGUGUAGCGGUGAAAUGCGUAGAUAUAGGAAGGAACACCAGUGGCGAAGGCGACCACCUGGGCUCAUACUGACACUGAGGUGCGAAAGCGUGGGGAGCAAACAGGAUUAGAUACCCCCGUAGUCCCUGUCUCUUAUAC